This 406-nucleotide ribosomal RNA is filed under the name uncultured bacterium. RNAcentral's name for it is "partial 16S ribosomal RNA". It matches the Rfam family "Bacterial small subunit ribosomal RNA", at positions 30 to 526 of the family's 1533-position model. The record is from RNAcentral.
AUUGAACGCUGGCGGCAGGCCUAACACAUGCAAGUCGAACGAGUGGCGGACGGGUGAGUAAUGUAUGGGAAACUGCCUGAUGGAGGGGGAUAACUACUGGAAACGGUAGCUAAUACCGCAUACCAUCAGAUGUGCCCAGAUGGGAUUAGCUAGUUGGUGGGGUAACGGCUCACCAAGACGACGAUCCCUAGCUGGUCUGAGAGGAUGACCAGCAACACUGGAACUGAGAGACGGUCCAGACUCCUACGGGAGGCAGCAGUGGGGAAUAUUGCACAAGGGGCGCAAGCCUGAGGCAGCCAUGCCGCGUGUAUGAAGAAGGCCUUCGGGUUGUAAAGUUCUUUCAGCAGGGAGGCGUUACCCGCAGAAGAAGCACCGGCUAACUCCGUGCCAGCAGCCGCGGUAAUUC